ACACAUGGAAGCAGAUCCACCGAAGGUAGCUACACGCACACACACACACACACACACACACACACAAAGCUGCCUCAUCAUACAGUAGAUCAGUGUUAGAAAACCGCAAUGCAGAGCCUCCUCCUCCACUCCACUCUGAUUUAAAAAAAAAAAAAAAAAAAAACUAAAUAAAAAAAAAACACUGGCAUGAAGUUGAGUGGAGCUGAUGCAGACACAACAACUAAACAAGAGAUGCCAAAACCUUUCCUCCACACAUACACAUACACAGACACACACCUCUCCUCCUCCUUCUCCACCUCCGCAUCCUCCUCCUCUCUCUCUAUACAGCCGAAAGCCAGAGCAGACAGAUAAGCAGGCGGCCAGAGACGGACUAAUCCUCCCACAGUGAGAGACGUUUUGGAUGGAAGGUGAUGAAAAUCAAACUGAACUGACAGAGAAAGAGAGGAUGAGCAAAGAAGAGAGAGAGGCUGGAUGGGGAGGGACGGAAGGCUAAAGGGUAAAAGUAAAGCGAGGAUGCAGAUUAGCAAAAGUUUCUCUCAUCGUCUGACUGAGGCUGAUGUAGGUCAGUGCGUCUGGAGCCUGUCUGGAGCUGCAGAGAGCCUUAGAGCCUAGUCCUCAUCGACCCCCGUGAAGGCUGCCUCCGCCGCCCGAGCUGAGGACAGUGCUUACUGGGCUAUGUGAGGACAGGAUCGCCACCGCCUGACCUGACUUGCCCUGGAGUAGGAUGUGCUUGCCGUAUGAGUAGAAGAGGAGGGGGAAAAGAGGAAGCAGGAGAAGGGGGGUAUGCAGGGUGAAACUAUGUAGUCUGUGUACUUCAUGAGAGCUUAUUUAGUAUAUGUUGUUGCAAACGAAUGACACAGCAAGGCAGAGCAGACCGUAAAUAUGCAGGAGGUUGAGGGGAUACGAGCAUCACCAUUGGGUUUCCAUCUUCUAGGUUUUGUGGGAAAAUGUUCAUGUAAUGCCGCCUUUACAACCCCUGUCAAACACUCACUCUAUACUCUGUCUUCACAUCUCUUUUCUCGCAGCCUAACCUCAUCAUGAUGUGUUAUGCAGUUCUUUUACUGCCAUCGCCAUUUCUGCAAAAACUACAGCGACCCAGCAAACUCCAGACUCCAUAACAAAGCGUUAACAGCUGUGUCCGUUCUUUCUUCUCUUGCAGCAUUUUCAUUGCCAUAUUGUUCCUUACAGAUGCAGUGUCCCGCAUCCCAAAAAGGCGGAUCAACCACAAGUGUCCUCCAACUCUUGUAUCCCCACGUCCCGUUUGACAGAGACCAACAAGCGCAUGGAUGAUGACUUUUCCAAACGUGCAUAAAGCUCCGUUGACGACUUCAGCAUCUUCUUAUUCUGCUCUCCUUCUUCUCUGCUUUCAUUCUCCACUCCUUCUCACUCCUCUGGCUUUUAGACAAUACCACCCCCCCACCCCAAAAAAAACAAAAAAAACAAAAAAUGAUCGUUCUAU
Melanotaenia boesemani (Boeseman's rainbowfish) is the source of this 1459-nucleotide long non-coding RNA. RefSeq lists it as uncharacterized. The transcript has 2 exons. Lineage: Eukaryota; Metazoa; Chordata; Actinopteri; Atheriniformes; Melanotaeniidae. The record is from RefSeq and is a predicted model, not a curated record.